This 1537-nucleotide long non-coding RNA is filed under the name Callithrix jacchus (white-tufted-ear marmoset). RNAcentral's name for it is "lncRNA (ENSCJAG00000067195.2)". Lineage: Eukaryota; Metazoa; Chordata; Mammalia; Primates; Cebidae. The record is from RNAcentral.
GCCUUUUUGACUUUAUACCAUAAAGUACACUUUCCUCAUAAGCACUAAAAACUAUUUGAAGCAUAAUUUUAUGGCUUCCUAAUACAUUUUGUACUUCUUAAUUUACAAUUUACCUAUUGUCAAACAAUAGUAUUAUUCAAAGUUUUGGGUUUUUUUUUUUUUUUUUUAAGUAUUAUAAGGCCCAGUGUGGUGGCUCACGCCUGUAAUCCCAGCACUUUGGGAGGCCAAGGCGGGUGGAUCACGAGGUCAAGAGAUCGAGACCAUCCUGGUCAACAUGGUGAAACCCCAUCUCUACUAAAAAAAAAAUACAAAAAAUUAGCUGGGCAUGGUGGUGCGUGCCUGUAAUCCCAGCUACUCAGGAGGCUGAGGCAGGAGAAUUGCCUGAACCCAGGAGGCAGAGGUUGCGGUGAGUCGAGAUCGCGCCAUUGCACUCCAGCCUGGGUAACAAGAGCGAAACUCCGUCUCAAAAACAACAACAACAACAAAAGUAUUAUAACCAAAGCUAUAUGAAGCACUUGUAUGUAAAUCUUUGCAUUUAUUAUUUCUUAACGUUGAUUUACAGGAGUGUUAUUAAAGGAUGAAAUUGUGCAGUGAAUAUCUGUUGAGUUUUCCUGACUCUCCUCCAUUUCCCCUUACUUUGGAGAAUCACACUGUAUCCCAAGGAGCUUGGAUAAAGCUGACUCCAUCCCUGGCUUCAAGGGAAAUUUCUUCAAUUCACCCUUGAGGAGUAGAGAUCUGAUAAGAAAAGGAAAUGAGAAAACUAAAGAAAUUCAACAACUAUGAAACAAAACAGAGACCUUCCAUAGGAGACCCCUUCCGCCUUUUUGGCUGCUUAUCAAAGCGACUUGUUCAAGGCCACAUUGCAAUUUAACAAGGCAGCCAGGAUUAGUUUGAGGAAACCUAGUUUCCCGGAUUGUCAUGUGAAAAAUUUCCUCAAUACCAGAGAAAUUUUGGUGUGCUUCAAAAUCACCUGCAGAGCUUUAUAAAAAAUACAGAUACCUGACUGCGCCCAUCCCUCAAUCCACCUUCAGUGUAUCUCUGGUAGAUUCCAGUCAUUGGCAUUUAAAAUAAAUUUACCAACUAAAUAAUCAUAUUCUGCCAAUUUUUGGACCACUAUUCCAGAGUAAAUGGCCUAUUAAAGUGUGAGAAGAGGCUGGGCACAGUGGCCGGUAAUCUUGGCACUUUGGGAGGCCGAGGUGGGCAGAUCAGGAGGUCAGGAGUUCGAGACCAGCCUGGCCAACAUGGUGAAACACUGUCUCUACUAAAAAUACAAAAAUUAGCUGGGCGUGUUGGUGCAUGACUUUAAUUCUAGCUACUUAGGAGGCUGAGGCAGGAGAAUUGCUUGAACCAGGGAGGCAGAGGUUGGAGUGAGCUGAGACUUCACCACUGCACUCUAGCCUGGGUGACAGAGACUCCGUCUCAGAAAAAAAAAAAAAUGUGAGAGGGAUUCCAAUGACACAAUGCAAGUAAAGGACUGUAAAAAAAAUGUUUAGACCAAGAUUUUAAUGGUAACAAUGUGUUUUAUUGUGCAGCAGGG